CCUACGGGUGGCAGCAGUGAGGAAUAUUGGUCAAUGGACGGAAGUCUGAACCAGCCAUGCCGCGUGCAGGAAGACGGCUCUAUGAGUUGUAGACUGCUUUUUUACAAGGGUAAACCUGAAUACGUGUAUUCAGCUGACAGUACUGUACGAAUAAGGAUCGGCUAACUCCGUGCCAGCAGCCGCGGUAAUCCGGAGGGUCCAAGCGUUAUCCGGAUUUAUUGGGUUUAAAGGGUGCGUAGGCGGAAUGAUAAGUUUGCGGUGAAAGGUCCGAGCUUAACUCGGGAACUGCCUCUAAUACUGGUGAGCUAGAAAGUAGAUGCGGUAGGCGGAAUGUAUGGUGUAGCGGUGAAAUGCUUAGAGAUCAGACAGAACACCGAUGGCGAAGGCAGCUUACCAAUCUAUAUCUGACGUUGAGGCACGAAAGCGUGGGGAGCAAACAGGAUUAGAUACCCGGGUAGUC
Molecule: ribosomal RNA, 460 nt
Filed under: uncultured bacterium
Lineage: Bacteria
Description: partial 16S ribosomal RNA
Rfam family: Bacterial small subunit ribosomal RNA
Source: RNAcentral